RNAcentral lists this ribosomal RNA (472 nucleotides) under Klebsiella pneumoniae subsp. pneumoniae. RNAcentral's name for it is "bacterial SSU rRNA". It matches the Rfam family "Bacterial small subunit ribosomal RNA", at positions 528 to 999 of the family's 1533-position model. The record is from RNAcentral. Lineage: Bacteria; Pseudomonadati; Pseudomonadota; Gammaproteobacteria; Enterobacterales; Enterobacteriaceae.
UAGGGUGCAGGCGUUAAUCGGAAUUACUGGGCGUAAAGCGCACGCAGGCGGUCUGUCAAGUCGGAUGUGAAAUCCCCGGGCUCAACCUGGGAACUGCAUUCGAAACUGGCAGGCUAGAGUCUUGUAGAGGGGGGUAGAAUUCCAGGUGUAGCGGUGAAAUGCGUAGAGAUCUGGAGGAAUACCGGUGGCGAAGGCGGCCCCCUGGACAAAGACUGACGCUCAGGUGCGAAAGCGUGGGGAGCAAACAGGAUUAGAUACCCUGGUAGUCCACGCCGUAAACGAUGUCGAUUUGGAGGUUGUGCCCUUGAGGCGUGGCUUCCGGAGCUAACGCGUUAAAUCGACCGCCUGGGGAGUACGGCCGCAAGGUUAAAACUCAAAUGAAUUGACGGGGGCCCGCACAAGCGGUGGAGCAUGUGGUUUAAUUCGAUGCAACGCGAAGAACCUUACCUGGUCUUGACAUCCACAGAUCCCA